GGGCUUUAGUUCAGUUGGUUAGAACGCUCGGCUCAUAACCGAGAAGUCAUAGGUUCGAGUCCUAUAAGCCCC
RNAcentral lists this transfer RNA (72 nucleotides) under Blautia hansenii. It matches the Rfam family "tRNA". Rfam says of the family: Transfer RNA (tRNA) molecules are approximately 80 nucleotides in length. Their secondary structure includes four short double-helical elements and three loops (D, anti-codon, and T loops). Further hydrogen bonds mediate the characteristic L-shaped molecular structure. tRNAs have two regions of fundamental functional importance: the anti-codon, which is responsible for specific mRNA codon recognition, and the 3' end, to which the tRNAs corresponding amino acid is attached (by aminoacyl-tRNA synthetases). tRNAs cope with the degeneracy of the genetic code in two manners: having more than one tRNA (with a specific anti-codon) for a particular amino acid; and 'wobble' base-pairing, i.e. permitting non-standard base-pairing at the 3rd anti-codon position. The record is from RNAcentral. Lineage: Bacteria; Bacillati; Bacillota; Clostridia; Lachnospirales; Lachnospiraceae.